Drosophila ficusphila is the source of this 2525-nucleotide long non-coding RNA. RefSeq lists it as uncharacterized. Lineage: Eukaryota; Metazoa; Arthropoda; Insecta; Diptera; Drosophilidae. The transcript has 2 exons. The record is from RefSeq and is a predicted model, not a curated record.
UUCGCCUGGGUUUUUCAGACAACUGCUUUGGGUCAUAUCAAUUGGCGGGUUACGUGCCUGGAGCGCAAGGUGUUUAUUAUUAGCAGCGUUUCAGCAUUUCUGACGUACUUCGGACAGCCCAUUCAGUGCGCGCUCCCAUUUCUGCGGCUAUCAAAACAUGGAAGCCAACAACGAUCGCAAACAGACGGUUAUGUUGGAUCAGCUAAAUAUAAUGCACUUUAAAAAUAAACAUUUUGUUUGUCAUUUGCCCAUUUGUGUUUGGCCUUUGGCAUUUUUGGCUGAGUGCCAGGCGUACUGAUAACAGCGAUGAUUGUGGCACACAACUUUAGACAAUUAUUUCAAGCGUAAAUUAACGUCUGACGUAUCUGAUAGAUACAUUUGGCCAGCCAGCUCAGAGGUUUUCCAUUCCCACAGCGUCAGCUGGCAAAUACGUUACACGUUUUUUGGCCAUGGUAAUAGAAGUCGCAUUCAGAGGCCGAUUCGUGGCUAACCACUGCACAAAACUUGAGUAACCUACGAAGUCGUACCGAAAUCAACCUGCCAGAUAGCUAAACCCAAGAGUUUGGCUCGAACUCAUUUCCCAUGACGAUCCGAUCCGUUGGCCAGGAAGGAAGCUACGUAACGUUCAUUUAGCAGGCUGCCCCUGGUUCCUUGUUUUACCUAUGUACUUCCCUUUGGCACGAGGGUUGUUUUCCUUUGCACCUGUGACGGCAUGUGCUGCUCCACCUUUUCAAAGGAAAACGAGGCAGGUUACCGCCAAAAUGCCGUCAGACCAGAGUCAACCUGUUGGAACAGCCGGCCAACUAACUAUGUAUGUCCCCGAUUGCGUGUUUAUGUGGCCCAAAUUAAGUCGAGUCACCCAAGUGAUAUAAGGUCGAAGGUGCACUUGACAUGCUUACUCAUUAGUCCCCUGCUGGUUAUCUUUCUGGAAAUCUUUAAAACUGCGCAAGCUUAGAAAACAUUUGCGAAGUUGCUGCAACUUAGUUAACCCAGUUUAUCUAUGUAAGCAUCCCAAGGUACCCCAAUAAACACCACUUAUUUAUCAGACAAAUAAAUGAUUGAUCGGUUUAUAGGUGAUUUAUCAGUGUUCUAUUUGAUGUUAAUAGAUGUUAGUUUGAUAAUAGAAAAACAUAUAUACAUUAAGGAUAUGUUUAAUCAAGAGAAUUCGACAUUUAAUAUUGCCAAAUGACAGAAAAAACAGAUAAGGUAAAAUAUUAACCCAAAAUGUGUAUUCUCCUGAAACCUUAAAAAAGGUCCAGUCACAAUGCACUUUCUUAAGCAAACCUAACAAACAAUGAAAUCAAAAGCCAGUGCAAUUAACAAUUUACCAGGUGUCACAGAUAUAGGGAUCAGCAAACAAAGAAAGCACACCGUUUGCUGAUUGCGACCAUGAGAAAAGAAAUAGAGCGUUCUAUCAAGGUGUAGGAACGUGCUGAAGUAGGCAAACAAAAUAAAGUCCCCGGCGAAAUUCAACAGAGAUUACUAAUUCAAACUCUAGCUCUAGUAAUUUUUAUACCGAAAGCGGAUAGUGAGUUUUAUGAUAGUAGGGUGAAUCGGAAAGAAGUCAGCCAAGCAUUAAGCUAAACAAAUAGUGUAAUAGAAACGGAAACAAAAUUCACAACUGCUGACGGGGCUCCUUGAACUGGCGUUGAACUUUUUAUGGAGCAACUUUUCGCGACGGUAAUUUUAUUUAUUUUUAAUAUGCACAUAUCAAGCAAAACAAACAAUCGAAGGAACGGCGACGAAAGUGAAACUGCCGCAACGUACGACCAAAUCGCACAAGAUCUUUUUCAAAAUCGCGUGUUGUCGAAUCGAAAAUCAAACUAAAUUACGAAUAACCGUCGGAAAUUGGAGGAAUUGUGGGGCGGCCGGAGGAGCGGAAAGGUCAGCCGACGUGGACGCCAUUAAUUGCUUUAGAUUGAAUUAAGUCCGCGGCAGAGGAAUCAGCACAGCAGCUCGCUUGGAGCUCUCUAUUCCGCUCGGCUUCAGUCGUGACCUACGCCCAUGACGUCAUUGGAUCGAAUCACUUUAUUUUUAGCCGGCUAUUUCCGCCCUUAUCACCCAUGAGCGGUCGGUCCCCCAGAUCCCGAUAAUUCCGAUCGAGUUCGAAGCGACAGUGUAACGGAGCGGCCGUAAAUCGUAAGUAGACCGCAGACUUCUGAAUCGGAUAGCGGAUAGCGGAACCGUGGCCACCUAUUGCCAAAGCCCCAGUGUGACUACUGAAAGUCCGGGUGGAAUGACAAAGGAACCGUCGGCAUGUGGUCACCUGAACAGAACAGAGAGUUUCGGAGAGUUCUGGCCCCUUAUCUGGGGGCCCAGCGCAAGAGAGGAGUGCGGAGCGAUAAGCUCCGAGAACGCAGGUAACUUGGAGCGGCGACCAGGUAAACUGAUUUUGCCGCGCACAGGAGCGGUUUGCAAGUGGCAAGGGUUUCGAAGAAGGUUAAAUAUCCCGCAAAUAUAAUUUCCUAUACUUUCUAGUCCCUUUCUGAUAAUAAUUUAACUAUAAAAAGAAAUAUUAUUACUUA